This 577-nucleotide ribosomal RNA is filed under the name uncultured bacterium. Its description in RNAcentral is "bacterial SSU rRNA". It matches the Rfam family "Bacterial small subunit ribosomal RNA", at positions 340 to 916 of the family's 1533-position model. The record is from RNAcentral.
UACGGGAGGCAGCAGUGAGGAAUAUUGGUCAAUGGACGAGAGUCUGAACCAGCCAAGUAGCGUGAAGGAUGACUGCCCUAUGGGUUGUAAACUUCUUUUGUACUGGGGUAAAAAAGAGGACGUGUCCUUUCUUGCAAGUACAGUACGAAUAAGCAUCGGCUAACUCCGUGCCAGCAGCCGCGGUAAUACGGAGGAUGCGAGCGUUAUCCGGAUUUAUUGGGUUUAAAGGGUGCGUAGGCGGAGAUUUAAGUCAGCGGUGAAAGUUUGAGGCUCAACCUUAAAAUUGCCGUUGAAACUGGGUUUCUUGAGUGUAUUUGAAGUAGGCGGAAUUCGUUGUGUAGCGGUGAAAUGCAUAGAUAUAACGAAGAACUCCAAUUGCGCAGGCAGCUUACUAAACUACAACUGACGCUGAAGCACGAAAGCGUGGGUAUCAAACAGGAUUAGAUACCCUGGUAGUCCACGCAGUAAACGAUGAUUACUAGCUGUUUGUGAUAUUACAAUAAGUGGCUAAGCGAAAGCGAUAAGUAAUCCACCUGGGGAGUACGCCGGCAACGGUGAAACUCAAAGGAAUUGACGG